UACCCUAUUAUUAGGUAUAAAAGAUUGGUAGUAGUUAGAUAUAUGAAAUCUAAAGAUUAUGGCGGUAUCUUAAGCUUUUUAGAGGAAUUUAUUCUGUAAUUGAUAAAACACAGAGAUCUUACUUAGUUUGGUUAAGCAGUUUGUAUAUCGCUAUCAUUUAAUAAUAUUGGAUGAUGAUUAUUGAGAUAGACUAUUGUUUAAAAUGUUAGGUCAAAAUGUAGCAUAAAAUUAAGGUUGAAAUAAGUUACAUUAAUUUAUAUAGGUGAAAUUGAAACAGUUGUUAGGAUUUAAAAGUAAAUUGGAAUUAUAAUGCUUAGUUGAAUAAAGCUCUAUGAU
Molecule: ribosomal RNA, 336 nt
Filed under: Ornithodoros sp.
Lineage: Eukaryota; Metazoa; Arthropoda; Arachnida; Ixodida; Argasidae
Description: partial small subunit ribosomal RNA
Source: RNAcentral